GUGGGGAAUCUUCCGCAAUGGACGAAAGUCUGACGGAGCAACGCCGCGUGAGUGAAGAAGGUUUUCGGAUCGUAAAGCUCUUUCGUUAGGGACGAACGUGCUCUUUGUGAAUAAUGGGGAGUAAUGACGGUACCUAAAUAAGAAGCCACGGCUAACUACGUGCCAGCAGCCGCGGUAAUACGUAGGUGGCAAGCGUUGUCCGGAAUUAUUGGGCGUAAAGCGCGCGCAGGCGGGAUAUCAAGUCUGUCUUAAAAGUGCGAGGCUCAACCUCGUGAGGGGACAGAAACUGGUAUUCUUGAGUGUCGGAGAGGAAAGUGGAAUUCCAAGUGUAGCGGUGAAAUGCGUAGAGAUUUGGAAGAACACCAGUGGCGAAGGCGACUUUCUGGACGAUGUCUGACGCUGAGGCGCGAAAGCUAGGGGAGCGAACGGGAUUAGAAACCCUAGUAGUCC
Molecule: ribosomal RNA, 450 nt
Filed under: uncultured bacterium
Lineage: Bacteria
Description: partial 16S ribosomal RNA
Rfam family: Bacterial small subunit ribosomal RNA
Source: RNAcentral